RNAcentral lists this antisense RNA (159 nucleotides) under Erwinia sp. JUb26. Its description in RNAcentral is "sok antitoxin". It matches the Rfam family "sok antitoxin (CssrC)". Rfam says of the family: Also identified in Shigella as CssrC. The record is from RNAcentral. Lineage: Bacteria; Pseudomonadati; Pseudomonadota; Gammaproteobacteria; Enterobacterales; Erwiniaceae.
CGGUGCUUGAGGCCUUUUGUCUGGUCUCAUGCGAAUGCGACGGAGACAAAAAGCAGAAAGCCCCGAAGGUAAUUUUUCAAUCACCAACGAGGCCUACUGAUCGUCCGAACAACGUGACUGUAGCCUCUUACCCGUCGAAAGACAAGGAGUACGGCUAUG